UGGGGAAUCUUGGACAAUGGGGGCAACCCUGAUCCAGCCAUGCCGCGUGAGUGAUGAAGGCCUUAGGGUCGUAAAGCUCUUUCGCCUGUGAAGAUAAUGACGGUAGCAGGUAAAGAAACCCCGGCUAACUCCGUGCCAGCAGCCGCGGUAAUACGGAGGGGGUUAGCGUUGUUCGGAAUUACUGGGCGUAAAGCGCACGUAGGCGGACCAGAAAGUUGGGGGUGAAAUCCCGGGGGCUCAACCCCGGAACUGCCUCCAAAACUAUUGGUCUAGAGUUCGAGAGAGGUGAGUGGAAUUCCAAGUGUAGAGGUGAAAUUCGUAGAUAUUUGGAGGAACACCAGUGGCGAAGGCGGCUCACUGGCUCGAUACUGACGCUGAGGUGCGAAAGUGUGGGGAGCAAACAGGAUUAGAUACCCUGGGUAGUCCACACCGUAAAACGAUGAAUGCCAGUCGUCGGGUAGCAUGCUAUUCGGUGACACACCUAACGGAUUAAGCAUUCCGCCUGGGGAGUACGGUCGG
RNAcentral lists this ribosomal RNA (519 nucleotides) under uncultured bacterium. RNAcentral describes it as "bacterial SSU rRNA". It matches the Rfam family "Bacterial small subunit ribosomal RNA", at positions 355 to 889 of the family's 1533-position model. The record is from RNAcentral.